GAUGAACGCUGGCGGCGUGCUUAACACAUGCAAGUCGAACGAUGAAGCCUAGCUUGCUAGGUGGAUUAGUGGCGAACGGGUGAGUAAUACGUGAGUAACCUACCUUUAACUCUGGGAUAAGCCUGGGAAACUGGGUCUAAUACCGGAUACGACCAAUCUCCGCAUGGGGUGUUGGUGGAAAGCGUUAUGUAGUGGUUAUAGAUGGGCUCACGGCCUAUCAGCUUGUUGGUGAGGUAACGGCUCACCAAGGCGACGACGGGUAGCCGGCCUGAGAGGGUGACCGGCCACACUGGGACUGAGACACGGCCCAGACUCCUACGGGAGGCAGCAGUGGGGAAUAUUGCACAAUGGGCGCAAGCCUGAUGCAGCGACGCCGCGUGAGGGAUGACGGCCUUCGGGUUGUAAACCUCUGUUAGCAGGGAAGAAGAGAGAUUGACGGUACCUGCAGAGAAAGCGCCGGCUAACUACGUGCCAGCAGCCGCGGUAAUACGUAGGGCGCGAGCGUUGUCCGGAAUUAUUGGGCGUAAAGAGCUUGUAGGCGGUUUGUCGCGUCUGCUGUGAAAGGCCGGGGCUUAACUCCGUGUAUUGCAGUGGGUACGGGCAGACUAGAGUGCAGUAGGGGAGACUGGAAUUCCCUGGUGUAGCGGUGGAAUGCGCAGAUAUCAGGAGGAACACCGAUGGCGAAGGCAGGUCUCUGGGCUGUAACUGACGCUGAGAAGCGAAAGCAUGGGGAGCGAACAGGAUUACAUACCCUGCUAGUCCAUGCCGUAAACGUUGGGCACUAUGUGUGGGGAACAUUCCACGUUUUCCGCGCCGUAGCUAACGCAUUAAGUGCCCCGCCUGGGGAGUACGGCCGCAAGGCUAAAACUCAAAGAAAUUGACGGGGGCCCGCACAAGCGGCGGAGCAUGCGGAUUAAUUCGAUGCAACGCGAAGAACCUUACCAAGGCUUGACAUAUACUGGACCGCAUCAGAGAUGGUGUUUCCCUUCGGGGCUGGUAUACAGGUGGUGCAUGGUUGUCGUCAGCUCGUGUCGUGAGAUGUUGGGUUAAGUCCCGCAACGAGCGCAACCCUCGUUCUAUGUUGCCAGCACGUUAUGGUGGGGACUCAUAGGAGACUGCCGGGGUCAACUCGGAGGAAGGUGGGGAUGACGUCAAAUCAUCAUGCCCCUUAUGUCUUGGGCUUCACGCAUGCUACAAUGGCCGGUACAGAGGGUUGCGAUACUGUGAGGUGGAGCUAAUCCCUAAAAGCCGGUCUCAGUUCGGAUUGGGGUCUGCAACUCGACCCCAUGAAGUCGGAGUCGCUAGUAAUCGCAGAUCAGCAACGCUGCGGUGAAUACGUUCCCGGGCCU
Molecule: ribosomal RNA, 1349 nt
Filed under: uncultured bacterium
Lineage: Bacteria
Description: bacterial SSU rRNA
Rfam family: Bacterial small subunit ribosomal RNA
Source: RNAcentral